CGGAUGAAGGGAGCUUGCUCUCGGAUUCAGCGGCGGACGGGUGAGUAAUGCCUAGGAAUCUGCCUGGUAGUGGGGGACAACGUUCCGAAAGGAGCGCUAAUACCGCAUACGUCCUACGGGAGAAAGUGGGGGAUCUUCGGACCUCACGCUAUCAGAUGAGCCUAGGUCGGAUUAGCUAGUAGGUGGGGUAAAGGCUCACCAAGGCGACGAUCCGUAACUGGUCUGAGAGGAUGAUCAGUCACACUGGAACUGAGACAAGGUCCAGACUCCUACGGGAGGCAGCAGUGGGGAAUAUUGGACAAUGGGCGAAAGCCUGAUCCAGCCAUGCCGCGUGUGUGAAGAAGGUCUUCGGAUUGUAAAGCACUUUAAGUUGGGAGGAAGGGCAGUAAGUUAAUACCUUGCUGUUUUGACGUUACCAACAGAAUAAGCACCGGCUAACUUCGUGCCAGCAGCCGCGGUAAUACGAAGGGUGCAAGCGUUAAUCGGAAUUACUGGGCGUAAAGCGCGCGUAGGUGGUUUG
RNAcentral lists this ribosomal RNA (520 nucleotides) under uncultured bacterium. RNAcentral describes it as "bacterial SSU rRNA". It matches the Rfam family "Bacterial small subunit ribosomal RNA", at positions 67 to 582 of the family's 1533-position model. The record is from RNAcentral.